This 320-nucleotide ribosomal RNA is filed under the name uncultured eukaryote. RNAcentral describes it as "partial 18S ribosomal RNA". It matches the Rfam family "Eukaryotic small subunit ribosomal RNA", at positions 1470 to 1796 of the family's 1831-position model. The record is from RNAcentral.
CCCCUAGAUGUUCUGGGCCGCACGCGCGCUACACUGAACAGUUCAACAAGUCUUAACCUUGGCCGGUAGGUCUGGGUAAUCUUUGAACGCUGUUCGUGAUUGGGAUAGACCUUUGCAAUUAUGGGUCUUCAACGAGGAAUUCCUAGUAAACGCAAGUCAUCAGCUUGCAUUGAUUACGUCCCUGCCCUUUGUACACACCGCCCGUCGCACCUACCGAUUGAAUGGUCCGGUGAAAUCUCGGGACGGCGGCUUGGUCGCUUGCGUCCGACUGCUGAAACUUGAUUAAACCAUAUCAUUUAGAGGAAGGUGAAGUCGUAACA